GUGAUCCAUUUUUAUUCGGCUCAAUCUUUUUUUUUAGAAAAAAAAGAUUGAGCCGAGUUUAAUUGCAGGCAAUUAGAAGAAUAAAGAAGAAUUACUGCAUUUCGUAACUUAUUUUUUCUCUUUUUAUUUUGUUUCUUUUUAUUUAGACCUUCUUCAUAUUUAGUUUUAUCUAUUAAUCCGAUCGGAAAAAAUCCGGAACCAGAGCCCUUUGCGGUAUGUUUAGCGCGCUGGACCGGACAAAACUGGAUAACCGGCUGUUUUGGUUGAUACCAGUGAACCGGACGGUUUUGCUCGAACCGUACCGGUUCAGUUCCCGUUUCAAAAAUACCCCUCGUUUGAUUUAUUUUUGUACGAAUAAUGCAAGGGUAGAUACGGUAUUUUGGUUAAUCUCUAGGGUUUGCUCCUAACUCAGUCAACUCUCCACCCACGAUUUGCUCUGUCUCUCCCCCGUCUCCCUUGUCCCGCCGCCUGUCUCCCUUGUCCCGCCGCCGCCGGCCGUCGCCCUGCCACCAGGGCUGACCGCGCCACCCGCGCCUCUCCGCCCAUGGCUACGACCGCCUCCCGCAGUACCGCUGACGCCGGACUCCAGCAACAGAGAUGCCGGUUUGUUGCUGCUCUUCAACUUUAGAGUAUGAAAUUCUCAAUUUCUUCCUUCUCUGUUCUUCAAGUUCAGAGUUGCUGCUGCUCAUCGAUUUGGUUGGAAAUGCAUGCAGCACUGUAGUGAUAGAGUAUUUAUGUAUGAUAAUAAUGAGACAAGUCAAUUAUUGUGUGCACUAUUAUUUAUAUUGUCAUAUUUUGAUUUUUUAGUUAAAAAUAUAUUAUUUUGUAUUAAAAAAUAGACCGGUGUUCAACUGGUGAACCGGCGAUUUGACCCGAAUAACCUGAACCGAG
RNAcentral lists this long non-coding RNA (891 nucleotides) under Brachypodium distachyon (stiff brome). RNAcentral describes it as "long non-coding RNA (BDIS_LNC005760)". The record is from RNAcentral. Lineage: Eukaryota; Viridiplantae; Streptophyta; Magnoliopsida; Poales; Poaceae.